UUGGGGGUCGUCUAGUGGUAGGACAGCAGCCUUUGGAGCUGCGAGCCUAGGUCCGAAUCCUAGCCCCCAAG
Molecule: transfer RNA, 71 nt
Filed under: Candidatus Gottesmanbacteria bacterium
Lineage: Bacteria; Candidatus Gottesmaniibacteriota
Description: tRNA-Gln
Rfam family: tRNA
About the family: Transfer RNA (tRNA) molecules are approximately 80 nucleotides in length. Their secondary structure includes four short double-helical elements and three loops (D, anti-codon, and T loops).
Source: RNAcentral